AGCCGUAACAACAUAAUAAUAAUAGGGUAAAUGUUUUGGUAAGCCAUAAAUAAGUUGAGAGUUGGAACGACAAAUCCGAGUAUUGUUAGGGGACUUUUUAGUUAUCCACUGGAUCAUUGAUAACGAUUACCACAUCAACCACAACGAUUUGCCAAUUAAUUGAAUUAUUAGGACCUCAAAGAAUUUUCCCCUGAACCACAAAUAGCGUCUUGCGUUAUAUUACACGCAUACGGAGUUAUUAGCGCUAAUGACAAACGGACAGCGCUAUUGUGUGCCUUUUACCGCAUCGUUUCCUUUUCGGUUCGCGAAAUAAAAUAACAAAAUACGCGAAUGACCGCAUAAUUUCGAUAGAUGGCCCCAAAAGACCAUUACGCAUUUAAUUUGGAUCCGCCCUUAUCGCACAGGACCUCAGGGACGCGUUACUAAGUAUUAUGCAUGCCAUAAAAAUAUUUACCUACUCAGCCUUCCUCGUUCGUGAUUCGUAAAUAAUUGAGCCGUAGCUGCCCACCGUGCGUGUUCUUGGACUGUAAUGAACAAUUUCUAAUUUAGUUUUUUCAUAGACCUAGAAAUAUUAUGAAUUUGUAAAUUAUAAAUGUAAUUACUGGUAUAGUUUCCCCCAAUUUUUGCCACUAAAUUCAUAAAUGAUUAUAUAUAUGUUCUCAGUUUAUGCACUAAGCUUGCUGUUAAGAUUGUCGUUCCUUAUUUAUGUCUA
Long non-coding RNA from Pieris brassicae (large cabbage white), 712 nucleotides. RefSeq lists it as uncharacterized. The record is from RefSeq and is a predicted model, not a curated record. The transcript has 3 exons. NCBI's taxonomy places the organism in Eukaryota, Metazoa, Arthropoda, Insecta, Lepidoptera, Pieridae.